GAUGAACGCUGGCGGCGUGCUUAACACAUGUAAGUCGAGCGAGUGAGUUCUUCGGAACGAUCUAGCGGCGGACGGGUGAGUAACACGUGGGCAACCUGCCUCAUAGAGGGGAAUAGCCAUCCGAAAGGAAGAUUAAUACCGCAUAAGAUUGUAGCUUCGCAUGAAGCAGCAAUUAAAGGAGCAAUCCGCUAGGAGAUGGGCGCGCGGCGCAUUAGCUAGUUGGGGAGGUAACGGCUCACCAAGGCGACGAGGCGUAGCCGACCUGAGAGGGUGAUCGGCCACAUUGGGACUGAGACACGGCCCAGACUCCUACGGGAGGCAGUAGUGGGGAAUAUUGCACAAUGGGGGAAACCCUGAUGCAGCAAUGCCGCGUGAGUGAUGACGGCCUUCGGGUUGUAAAGCUCUGUCUUCGGGGACGAUAAUGACGGUACCCGAGGAGGAAGCCACGGCUAACUACGUGCCAGCAGCCGCAGUAA
Molecule: ribosomal RNA, 476 nt
Filed under: uncultured bacterium
Lineage: Bacteria
Description: partial 16S ribosomal RNA
Rfam family: Bacterial small subunit ribosomal RNA
Source: RNAcentral